NGCAGUAGGGAAUCUUCCACAAUGGACGAAAGUCUGAUGGAGCAACGCCGCGUGAGUGAAGAAGGUUUUCGGAUCGUAAAGCUCUGUUGUUGGUGAAGAAGGAUAGAGGCAGUAACUGGUCUUUAUUUGACGGUAAUCAACCAGAAAGUCACGGCUAACUACGUGCCAG
Molecule: ribosomal RNA, 169 nt
Filed under: uncultured bacterium
Lineage: Bacteria
Description: partial 16S rRNA
Rfam family: Bacterial small subunit ribosomal RNA
Source: RNAcentral